RNAcentral lists this transfer RNA (76 nucleotides) under Nitrospiraceae bacterium. Its description in RNAcentral is "tRNA-Val". It matches the Rfam family "tRNA". Rfam says of the family: Transfer RNA (tRNA) molecules are approximately 80 nucleotides in length. Their secondary structure includes four short double-helical elements and three loops (D, anti-codon, and T loops). The record is from RNAcentral. Lineage: Bacteria; Pseudomonadati; Nitrospirota; Nitrospiria; Nitrospirales; Nitrospiraceae.
GGGCGGAUAGCUCAGCUGGGAGAGCGCAGCCCUUACAAGGCUGAGGUCACAGGUUCAAUCCCUGUUCCGCCUACCA